CUGCAGAGGCGGCUAGACUUCGAAGAGUCUUAGAGAGUGGAUUUGACUUUUUGAAGAGAGAGAUCAGGGGCUCCAGUGAAACUGCCUCUACUCAGUUUAGUACCCUGAUGCAGUCUGUGUCGAGAGCAUUGGAUCUUUUGGAUACCAUCAGACUUUUUCUUCUAGCACAGUCCAUAGCUUUUCAGGCUCCAAGAUCCUCUCACCUC
RNAcentral lists this long non-coding RNA (206 nucleotides) under Elaeis guineensis (African oil palm). Its description in RNAcentral is "long non-coding RNA (EGUI_LNC038553)". Lineage: Eukaryota; Viridiplantae; Streptophyta; Magnoliopsida; Arecales; Arecaceae. The record is from RNAcentral.